UCAACCGGGGAAAAGCUUUGGAUACUGCUCUACUAGAGACAGCUAGGGGACACUGGAACUUACGGUGAAGCAGUGAAAUGCGUUGAUAUCGUAGGGAACACCAAGGGGGAAGCCAAGUGUCUGGGGCUGUUCUGACGCUGAGAGACGAAAGCGUGGGUAGCGAAACGGAUUAGAUACCCGUGUAGUCCACGCUGUAAACUAUGCCUGCUAGAUACCUGUUUAUAUGGGUGUCGAAGCUAACGCGUUAAGCAGGCCGCCUGGGAAGUACGGUCGCAAGGCUAAAACUCAAAGGAAUUGGCGGGGACCCGCACAAGCGGUGGAGCAUGCUCUUUAAUUGGCUGAUAACCCAAGAACCUUACCCAGGUUUGACAUGUAGAUGCAAAUCCGGUGAAAGCCGGACUCCUUCGAGGGUUCUACACAGGUGUUGCAUGGCUGUCGUCAGCUCGUACCGUGAGGCGUACCCUUAAGUGGGUUAACGAGCGCAACCCUUACUGUUAGUUGUAUCACUCUAACGGAACUGCCGUCGCAAGGCGGAGGAAGGUGGGGACGACGUCAAGUCGGUAUUGCCUUUAUGCCUGGGGCUAGAAGCAUGCUACAAUGGCGCGUACAACGAGUUGCAACACGGUGACGUGAAGCUAAUCUCUUAAAGCGCGCCUCAGUUCGGAUUGGAGUCUGCAAUUCGACUCCAUGAAGUUGGAAUCGCUAGUAAUCGCAGGUCAGCUAUACUGCGGUGAAUACGUUCUCGGGUCUUGCACACACUGCCCGUCACGCCAGCAAAGCUGGGGCCACCUUAAGUCUCUUAUUUUAAGGGCCCAAGGUGGAAUCAGUGAUGAGGGUGAAGUCGUAACAAGGUAGCCGUAGGGGAAUCUGCGGCUGGAUCACCUCCUU
RNAcentral lists this ribosomal RNA (888 nucleotides) under candidate division WWE3 bacterium GW2011_GWC1_41_7. Its description in RNAcentral is "bacterial SSU rRNA". It matches the Rfam family "Bacterial small subunit ribosomal RNA", at positions 609 to 1532 of the family's 1533-position model. Lineage: Bacteria; candidate division WWE3. The record is from RNAcentral.